RNAcentral lists this ribosomal RNA (332 nucleotides) under uncultured eukaryote. RNAcentral's name for it is "partial 18S ribosomal RNA". It matches the Rfam family "Eukaryotic small subunit ribosomal RNA", at positions 1470 to 1796 of the family's 1831-position model. The record is from RNAcentral.
CCCUUAGAAGUUCUGGGCUACACGCGUGUUACACUGAUAUGUUCAACAAGUUAAAAUAUUCCUUGCCCGACGGGGCUGGGUAAUCUUUUAAAAGCAUGUCGUGAUGGGGAUAGAGCAUUGUAAUUAUUGCUCUUGAACGAGGAAUUCCUAGUAAGUGCAAGUCAUUAACUUGCGCUGAUUACGUCCCUGCCCUUUGUACACACCGCCCGUCGCACCUACCGAUUGAAUGACUCGGUGAAAAAUUGGGACUGUGAUUGAAAUUGCUUCAUUGCGAAUUUAAUUAUGGAAACUUUCUUUAACCUAGGCAUUUAGAGGAAGGUGAAGUCGUAACA